UUGGAAAUUUGGUUUAUUGAACGGUGCGUUGGUGCAAAUUCCGCGUAAUUGAUCAGUGCUGAAUUAUCUGAAUUGCUCCUGCUGUUGGCAAUUUUUCUAGUUAGUUGUGGACAAGCUGCUCUUACCCCGCUAUAUUUGGAAGAAAACAUCAGGAGUGUACUGGGUUUCUCUUGUAAUUGAUAGGUUUGACCUGUUGGUUCCGAUGCCUCCUGUUUCUUUCCGUGUGGCGAAGUACUUGUUCUGGGCAUGUUUAGCGAGCUGGUCACAUGGUUUCCUUCUGCAUUCAUCAUCUUUCUUCCUUAUAAAAGGGGCUAAAAUAGUAUAUAUAAUGCAAUGGAGAAGGAUUGGAGGAAAUUUUUAGCUUUUGAGCCCAUGUUUUCGAAGUAAUUUGCUUGUACUGCAUUUGAGAAUGGAUUUUGUUAUUUUAGAUCAUUAGAAAAAGCUCCUGGACAAUAGUGUUGACUGUUCAGUCUAAGUUAAGAUAUUUUCUUUAGUACCUCCUUUUGUUUGUAGGCCGCGAUAGAACACUUUAACUAGUGGUAAUCAGAGAUACUAGUCAACAGAAUCUUUGUACUUGUAAUAUAUGCAAAAGAUGUGGUUAUUUGUAGAAGGUUUGGUGAUGGAUUUGAUAUGGAAG
RNAcentral lists this long non-coding RNA (637 nucleotides) under Phoenix dactylifera (date palm). RNAcentral's name for it is "long non-coding RNA (PDAC_LNC018609)". Lineage: Eukaryota; Viridiplantae; Streptophyta; Magnoliopsida; Arecales; Arecaceae. The record is from RNAcentral.